GGGAAUGAUUGGGUAGCUGGUGCUCCCCGCGGCCUUCAAAGCCGUUGUCCUAGGGUGACCUAGGAGCUGGGUUCGAUUCCCAGGCGUUCCCGCCA
RNAcentral lists this transfer RNA (95 nucleotides) under Chloroflexota bacterium. RNAcentral describes it as "Chloroflexi bacterium tRNA-Sec". It matches the Rfam family "Selenocysteine transfer RNA". The record is from RNAcentral. Lineage: Bacteria; Bacillati; Chloroflexota.